AACAUCGCCUCUUGACCCCCAAACAUAAGAGGUCCUGCCUGCCCACUGACUAUAAGUUAAACGGCCGCGGUAUUUUAACCGUGCAAAGGUAGCGCAAUCACUUGUCUUUUAAAUGAAGACCCGUAUGAAUGGCAAGACGAGGGCUUAACUGUCUCCUCUUUCUAGUCAAUGAAAUUGAUCUCCCCGUGCAGAAGCGGGGAUAUUCCCAUAAGACGAGAAGACCCUAUGGAGCUUUAGACGCAAGACAGCCCGUCCUUUAAAAUCUAAACAAAAGAUUACACUAAACAGCCCCUGUCUAAAUGUCUUCGGUUGGGGCGACCGCGGGGAGAUACAAAACCCCCAUGUGGAGUGAGAGCACUCUUCCCCACUUAACCACUGCUCUUAAAAACUAGAGGGGCACCUCUAACUAGCAGAACUUCUGACCUUAAUUGAUCCGGCUUAAUGCCGAUCAACGAACCAAGUUACCCUAGGGAUAACAGCGCAAUCCUCUUUUAGAGCCCAUAUCGACAAGGGGGUUUACGACCUCGAUGUUGGAUCAGGACAUCCUAAUGGCGCAGCAGCUAUUAAGGGUUCGUUUGUUCAACGAUUAAAGUCCUACG
This 599-nucleotide ribosomal RNA is filed under the name Bathysolea profundicola. RNAcentral describes it as "partial 16S large subunit ribosomal RNA". It matches the Rfam family "Bacterial large subunit ribosomal RNA", at positions 1812 to 2600 of the family's 2925-position model. The record is from RNAcentral. Lineage: Eukaryota; Metazoa; Chordata; Actinopteri; Pleuronectiformes; Soleidae.